Long non-coding RNA from Amphiprion ocellaris (clown anemonefish), 1039 nucleotides. NCBI's taxonomy places the organism in Eukaryota, Metazoa, Chordata, Actinopteri, Pomacentridae. The record is from Ensembl.
UUCCUCCCUUGCUGAGCUAAUCGGAUGUUUGUGUUUUUUACGUAAUGUCCUUGAACGCACCUCGUGUGUGGCGUUGUUUUUCUCCAUAGCUGCACAGUUGUUCGCUAGUUCUCUCCUGUGCACGUCUGAACUGGAUGCAUGUUGCAUUUUUUCUUCUUUAACCUGCUGUGUGUAAAUGAUGAAGAACCACAGCCAGCCACAGUUAUCCACAAGUAGCUACAGUUGUCUACAGUGCAGCACAGAGUUAUCUGCAACAACAAUAAACAUCAUUAACCUGGAAAGUCUGGCUGCCGUGUUCUUUAACGGGGACACCUUCAUACCUUGUGCCACUCUGAAAAUACCUACCUGGAGAACCCUCACUCCUUUUUACCCAGAUAAUUUCAUGUAUUGCAUAAAAACUCACACUUUUAUUCAUGUGCUAACCAAUGUUCCCUGUAAUUUUUCCUGAGUCUGAGCAAACACACAAACUCCCUGAGCGUCCCUUGGACCACUAUGUUAAGUUAAAGGAGUUUUAUUCGUGACGUAUAACCAAUCAAAUCACUCCAGAAGACAGAGCGACCACAGCUGCAUGCCUUCGUCCACCCGGCCUCCGUUGACUCGUCCUGCCUGCCGUCUCUGGAGCUGAAGCUGGAUUGGAACAGACUAAAGUACAGUCCAAUCACGAUGCCAGCUGCCUCUCAAAAGGCUCCUUCAUCUGGCAGGUGGCAGCACUUCUUCUGAGGGGAAGCUGAGCUGGCCCGGCAGAACUUUGGAGAUGUGUUCCAGUGGUUGGUGGAUGUGUGGGGAGAUAGAGAGGGACCUUUGAAUUGUUCAGAAAGGAAAACAGAGAACCCAUUGGUAGUUUUAGUUUAGGGUGCUACUGCGGUGUGUUUUUGGGUUUUAAGAGGUGAACAGGAAGAGUUUUUUUCGUAUUGAUUAUCUUUUACUUUGUUCCUGGUUGGAAUGCCCAUCAAUGUCAACGUGAAGUUCACUUUUAGUUCAGUUUAUUUAUUUUUGUUUUACUAACACCCAUUUGUUUUUAACCCCCUCACAUGUUGUG